GGCGGCAGGCUUAACACAUGCAAGUCGAACGCGUGUAGCAAUACACGAGUGGCGCACGGGUGAGUAACGCGUGGAUAUCUGCCUUUUGGUUCGGAAUAACCCCGGGAAACUGGGGCUAAUACCGGAUGGUUCCUACGGGAUAAAGAUUUAUCGCCAAAAGAUGAGUCCGCGUACGAUUAGCUAGUUGGUGAGGUAAUGGCUCACCAAGGCGACGAUCGUUAGCUGGUCUGAGAGGACGAUCAGCCACACUGGGACUGAGACACGGCCCAGACUCCUACGGGAGGCAGCAGUGGGGAAUAUUGGACAAUGGGGGCAACCCUGAUCCAGCCAUGCCGCGUGAGUGAUGAAGGCCUUCGGGUUGUAAAGCUCUUUUGGCGGGGACGAUGAUGACGGUACCCGCAGAAUAAGCCCCGGCUAACUUCGUGCCAGCAGCCGCGGUAAGACGAAAGGGGCUAGCGUUGUUC
This 464-nucleotide ribosomal RNA is filed under the name uncultured Alphaproteobacteria bacterium. RNAcentral describes it as "bacterial SSU rRNA". It matches the Rfam family "Bacterial small subunit ribosomal RNA", at positions 38 to 546 of the family's 1533-position model. Lineage: Bacteria; Pseudomonadati; Pseudomonadota; Alphaproteobacteria. The record is from RNAcentral.